Molecule: ribosomal RNA, 492 nt
Filed under: uncultured bacterium
Lineage: Bacteria
Description: partial 16S ribosomal RNA
Rfam family: Bacterial small subunit ribosomal RNA
Source: RNAcentral
AGUGAACGCUGGCGGUAGGCCUAACACAUGCAAGUCGAACGGCAGCACAGUAAGAGCUUGCUCUUACGGGUGGCGAGUGGCGGACGGGUGAGGAAUACAUCGGAAUCUACUUUUUCGUGGGGGUUAACGUAGGGAAACUUACGCUAAUACCGCAUACGACCUACGGGUGAAAGCAGGGGAUCUUCGCACCUUGCGCGAUUGAAUGAGCCGAUGUCGGAUUAGCUAGUUGGCGGGGUAAAGGCCCACCAAGGCGACGAUCCGUAGCUGGUCUGAGAGGAUGAUCGGCCACACUGGAACUGAGACACGGUCCAGACUCCUACGGGAGGCAGCAGUGGGGAAUAUUGGACAAUGGGCGCAAGCCUGAUCCAGCCAUACCGCGUGGGUGAAGAAGGCCUUCGGGUUGUAAAGCCCUUUUGUUGGGAAAGAAAAGCAGCAGGUUAAUACCCCGCUGUUCUGACGGUACCCAAAGAAUAAGCACCGGCUAACUUCGUG